Molecule: ribosomal RNA, 339 nt
Filed under: uncultured Bacillota bacterium
Lineage: Bacteria; Bacillati; Bacillota
Description: bacterial SSU rRNA
Rfam family: Bacterial small subunit ribosomal RNA
Source: RNAcentral
GACGAACGCUGGCGGCGUGCCUAAUACAUGCAAGUCGAGCGAAUUGACGAAGAAAGCUUGCUUUCUUCUGAUGUUAGCGGCGGACGGGUGAGUAACACGUGGGCAACCUGCCCUUUAGUUUGGGAUAACUUCGGGAAACCGGAGCUAAUACCGAAUAAUACUCUUUGACUCAUGUCAGAAAGUUGAAAGAUGGUUUCGGCUGUCGCUAAAGGAUGGGCCCGCGGUGCAUUAGCUAGUUGGUGAGGUAACGGCUCACCAAGGCAACGAUGCAUAGCCGACCUGAGAGGGUGAUCGGCCACACUGGGACUGAGACACGGCCCAGACUCCUACGGGAGGCUG